CUCUCAGUCGCUGUCUCUCCUGAUCCCCUUUGACCACACAUUCAAACGGAGGGGAAUGGAGGAAGAUGUCCGACUCCAAGAAGAGCACCAUUUUCUGGCGGCGUUAUUUGGGACAGAACACUGGCUGUCUCGGGACGGGCCCAAGGUCACCUUCGCCAGCGCGGGAUGAGAGGAGGCCGUGAGAGUGAAGGAGGCCGAGGCCGUGAGAGUGAAGGAGGCCGUAGGCCCGGACGGACGCAGGAGGAGCGGGCGGGAGUGUGGAACAGGACAGGGUAGUGUCGGCAGAACCGCAGGGGGAGGACGCGGCUUCCCCGGCCCGAGAAGGGCGAGGCUGGGGACGGAAGAGCCUGAGUCCACCGCGUGGAAAUUUAAUUCUAAAGCCCCGGAAUUGUCUGUGAAGGGGAUGCAAAGUAGAAUGUGAAAUGCAAAUCUCUGGAUGGGCAGAAUAUGCAAUUUCACGCUGAUGCCCAACAGAUUCGCCUUCAUGAAUAUUCAAGCAGUGAACAGUUUUUGACAUUU
Microcebus murinus (gray mouse lemur) is the source of this 519-nucleotide non-coding RNA. NCBI's taxonomy places the organism in Eukaryota, Metazoa, Chordata, Mammalia, Primates, Cheirogaleidae. The record is from RefSeq and is a predicted model, not a curated record.